UCCCUGCAUCCUCUGAGUUCACAUAACAUGAACGGAGAAUGACAAUAAGUAAGUACACAAAAACAAAAAUAUGCAGAUAUUGCCAGGUGCUAACAAGUGCUACAGUGAUGACAGAAAAAAAAAAAAAAAAAAGCAAGUUAAGUGGAAUGGAACAAGGGGUGAAGGUAUGGAGAUGAAUCUGAGAUGAGAUGAAACAAAUGGUGGUAUUAUUUUUAGGGAUUGUUUUGUGCUUGAUAAAUAUAACUCUGGUGAUGAAUGUGAGGGUCGGUCUGAAUGGUGGUGAGAGGGGAGUUGGUGGUUAGGUACUAGUGUGGUCAUAUAGGGCAGAGAUGGCAGUGACCAUGCUAAGGGUCUGGCAGUGAGGUGGAGAAGUGUAUAAGAAAAUAGAUAGGUCUAUAUAUGUAUAUUUAUCUAUAUAUCAUAUAUAUGUAUGAAUAUAUAACAUAUCUUGUGUUUAUCUAAAUAUGAAGAGGGAGAAAAGAAUAGAAAAUAUAUAAGCUAUGUUUAAAAGAGUAGGCUGGACAGGGCUCAGUCACUUUUUCAAUCUUUAUUGAGAAGCUGCUUAAUUUGGGUCAUGUGCCAGACAUCUCAGACACCCAAUGCAUGUGUGUGGGUCUACAAUACUUUAUGUAGGAGGGUCUGUCAUGUGUAAAACAAUAUGGACCAUGUCUACCUCAGAGAAAACUUAGCAAAUUCAUGAACUGUGCCUGUCCCAUUUUAUGUGUCUUCUCAAAAAAAAUAAUUACUCUUUAGGAAUGUGUAAAGUAAAGGAAAAUAUAUCUCCAUUUUAGAAUAAUGUAUUACAUAAGCAAGUCUUCUUUUCCCUGCAGGACACAAAGCCUGGUCAGUCCUACUAAUGGAAGGUAGUAAUAAAGCCAUCAGACUUUCAGUAAGAAACAAUUGCCUUGUGGAUGAGAAGUGGUCGCUGGUAUAUAAUUCGAAAAUGGACUGAUUGUUUCCCACCCACACUCUCCCUUCAGGAAUUCAGCCAGCAAUUCCAUAUGCACAUGCAUACACCCAAAUGAAGUAAUUUUUAAAGAGGGUUCUCUAGUACUGAUGGGUGUCACCUCAUCAUGCUUUCUCUUCCCAUUAGAUUGGAUCACUGAGCCGGAGAGUGGAGGGUUUGUCCCUUUCUGACCAGGACACUGAUGAGCCUCAUGAAUUAAAAUUUAUGUCCUCCCUUGUUACUGAUGUGCCACCUGGCUCUUUUGAAUUAUCACAGCCACCAAAUGAAUUUUAUAGUCCAUUGGGGGCUGUCCAUGCUUGUUAAGGUGAUAUUUCCAUCUCUAGCAUAGUACAGAAUCUCAUCUUCUCCUUGGUGAAUAAUCACAGUGCCUAAUCGCCAUCAGCUAUCUUUUGCUUCUUGAAGUGGUCUCUAAGUUAUGUAUCCUCUACUUCUGAGAAGGCCAGUCAAAAGAUGGGAUUACCGUCAAAUCCUGACAGCCCUGUUGAUUAUCUCUAUUGUGUAUCUGCUCCCCACUACACCAGCCUCUGGUUUAAUGACGUAUGUUCCCUAGAUGGGUUUGUUCUAUUUCCAUCUGAUUUUCCCUAUUUCUAUUCUUCUGUUACUAAUUUCUCUUAUUUUGCACUUCUCUUUCUUCCCUGUUCUAUUAAAAUCACUUAGGUUCACUCUGGCAUUAAAUACUUUCAAGAAUCUGUGAGUAGGUAUUUCUAUUCCUAUAUUACAGGUAUAAGAAGGUUGCCCAAGGUCAUGCAGGUAAUAGAAGAAAAAAGCAAAAAUUCAACUUGUGAUUAUAUGAUUCCAAAGACUAUGUUUUUUUAAUAUCCAAUACUGCUUAAGAAAGCCGUGCAUUUCCCCUUGUUCUGCUAAACCUCACUCUGGUAUUCUCAAUCUCUCACUGCAAACUCUCCUGGAAGAAGAGAACAGCACUACAAUAUUUACUUCCGUGUCUUUACAGCAAUUUUCUUUUAAGUCAUGAAAGUAAUAUGAGAAGAUAAAGAACAUAACAUUUGGACUUAGGAAAUAUGAUUUUGUAUAGUUCUAGCACCAACUAGUCAGGUGAUCUAGACAAAUUCCCCUUGAGUAUGAAAUGAUGCAAUAAUACCAAUAGGAUCUUAGGGUUAUGGAAAGAUUAAAGUGAAAGUACUUAGAGGUGUCCAUGGCAAUCUGAUUGAUCCAAGGGGAUACAAUGGCUGAAAAUCAAUGGUUUGGAUGGAAGGAACCUAAUGAGAUACUUUGGAAGUUUCUGCAAAUCAGAUCUGGGGCAUGCCCGAGUCCCUGUCUGCCCUAAGUUAGUUACUUUUGUGAAAACCACUCAACAUAUUGCUUUAAACUUUGGCUUUUUCCCUAAAGUGUUCCAAUGUCAACUUUUUUUUUUGCAACCCAGGAGAUCUAAUGCAAUAUCCAAUCUACACUUCCCCAGAAGUCUGAUUUUCAUGGGAUCUCAGUGAGACAAGAUUCAAAGUAAACCACUGCUCUGAGGCCAAAAUGGCAAGAUUGAGUAUAUCAUAUGCAAAGAGUUUGCUUAAGAGACUGUAUGGCUGUCUCAUCUGGUAAGGGUUUGUGUCCUGGUGGUAUUAUAGUCCAUCCUCUUCUUGUGAACUGGCCCUCCAAGGUUGGCCAUAAAGCUGGCAUACUCACUAGAAGGAGCCUGGGGCCAGAUUAACUCAGACCUGAAGUAGAUUCUGAGGGACAGCUCAAGGUGAUAAGGAUUCCCUGAGCUCUCCUAGCUCCAUGGGAUGCCAGUGUUCAGAGACCUUGGAAGGACAGUGAGUGCCGUGAUGGAUUGCUAACUGAGAGCCACUUGUAUCCUCAGCAGGGCUGCCUUUGUUGAUCAGGGAAAAGGAAGUUCAUGUUCUAACUCUUAGGUGUCAGGCAAGGCUGAUUGACAGAACAUACUUCAUUUCAAUGCAAGCAUUGAUGUAGACUUGAGACUAAAGCCCUUAUGUCUGGACCCUCGAAGGGCAUCUAGCCCCAGCCACUGAGUAACACAGGAAGGAAAGAGGUAAAGACUAUCCUAGAAAUUUGCUGUUUCUCUCUAUCAUGAUCUGUCCCAUCAGGAAUUCUUUCAAACACCUACUAUGAAUAUUAUUUUCCAAGGGUAAACUUCAAAUUUCAGAUUAGUUUGAAUUUGGGAAAAAACAAAAGGGUAUGUGGGGGAUGGGUGUCUAUGUGUGUUAUGGCUUUGGACCUGGUGUGUGAUUACAGUAAAUUGAAAUUCUUCUGGAUUUAGUUGGGAGAUGACUGGAGAAUAUCUGAUUUCCCGGCAAUCAGUGCCAUUACUGACUUACUCUGAAUGGAUCUCUUAUUUAUUGCUUAGCUAGCAUAAGCAGUAUACUUAAGGCUGUACCAUAUGUGAAGAAAUGAAUACUUCCCUCAUUUACAGAGAUAAUUUGGUCUACUAAGGGUACAAUGAUUUCUGGCUAAUACAUAAAGAUCCAGAUGGCUUGCCAAUAUUAAAGAUCUAUUUUAGGCAUAUAAUUUUCAGGUCUUAACUCAUAGCACCUCAACCAAAUUCAAAUGCAAUUAUCGUCUGUUCCUCUAAAUUCCCAAAAACAAUUCACUUGGAUACAGCAUGCUUCCCUGUUGCUGGGUGGUGGUUCUAUCUCUGCUAUUACACAUUGCUAGAGCCUAUCAGACGGGUGAGUUGAUGGAUCCUAACCAUUACUCACUUGCCUCAUUAGUUAUAUGGGGCUUAAGUAAUUCAUAUUUUUUUAAAAAAAGGAAAGAUGAAAGAUGUUUGAAUCCCUUAAUUGAAAGAUGGCAUAAAAUGCCAGCAUUUUUGCCUGAAGAGAAAAAAAAAAUCCUUAAUAUAAAAAGGAAGUUAUAUAGAGAAAGGGUAUAUGGAGAGUUAUAUGGAGAAAGGGUAGAGUGGGCUUUCCAUUUAGGUCCAUCGACAGUAAUUCUUAUCCCUGGUUGAAGUUAGAAUCACCUGCAGUGCGUUACAAAAGACCAAUCCCCAAGUCACAAUCUAGACCACUUAAAUGAGAAUCUCCAGACUGGGAGCCUGAGCACUGAGAUUUUAAAAUAGUUUCUUGGGUGAUUCUAGUCCACAGUCAGGAUUGAAUACCCUCAUAAAAUGCCUAUCUCAAGUGACUCAGUGAUAAGUAACACUCGCUACCUCCAAUUUUACAGUAUUAGCCUUAGAGAAGAUAAGAAAAUGCCUUGGAAGAAGAUAAUGCCUUAAAUUGAACAUGAAAACUCUGUGUAAUUAAACCUAACGUAAAAAAAAUCACAACCAUGCAUACUAUUACCUCCAAGACAUUUCUUACUUUUUUUUUUUUUUUUUACACGUAUAAUGAUCAAUAUUCUUAGGUUGUUUCUAUGUUGCAUUUCCUUUCUUUGGUAAGAACUACCAUAAUUACCAACUAUUUAAAAAUCUGUCAUAGCAGUUAAUCCUACUUUUCAUUCUUUUGGAUGGCUGCACAGCCACCUGGAAAGAAAACAACAUGUUAAUUGAUGAGACAAAUCAAAAUUUGAAAUCUCUCUAGUCAGGAGCUUCUGAAGGUUCUGGAAAAGAUCAAAUGUGUAUGUGUUUGCCCAAUGAAAUAAGCCUUAAGAACACAGCCAGUCCAGCUCUUCCAAGUGCUAGCGGCAGCGAUGUCUGUGUAGUCCUCUAUACCCUAACCAAGCAAGUUCCUCCUCACUUUAUCCUCACUGUAACUCUGUGAACUAGGAUGGACUAGAGAUCAACAUACCCAUUUUAUAGAUGAGGGAACUGAAUCUUAAGGUUUGUUAAUGGCUUUUGAGGUAUAAUUCUACUGCAGCUUGAUGCCGCUGUAAAGGGAUAUUUUCUUCCUUUGUAUUUAUACUGGCAUCUGCUUGUAUAUAGAAAAGCUAUUGUUUUUCUUUAAUUUAUUUUAUUCAAGUAUAGUUAAUUUACAGUGUUAUGUUAAUUUCUGCUAUAUAGCAGGGCGAUUCAGUUAAACACACACACAUACAUACACAUACAGUCUUUUUCAUGUUCUUUUCCAUAAUGGUUUAUCACAGGAUAUUGAAUAUAGUUCCCUGUGCUAUACAGUAAGAACUUGUUAUUUAUCCAUCCCAUAUAUAAUUUGUAGUGCUAAUUAAUUAUGGAACAAUAUUAAAUAUCUAUAAUACUGGACAUCCUUUUUUUGAUACUAACUUUAAUGUGAAUACAUUGAAAUUUUCCAUGUCUAAACAUGAUACUAGUUUUUAGGUUAAGAGAGGGAAAUAUCUAUGUAUGUGUGUUUUUAUUUAAUAUGUGCUUAUAAGAUAUAUGCAUAUAUAAAAUGCAGUGUUAACAAGUAUCCAGUUCUUAUAACUCAACAAUUAAAAGAUAAACCACCCAAUUAAAAAAUAGAUGAAGGACUUGAAUUGACAUUUCUCCAAAAAAGAUAUUCAAAUGGCCAAUAAGACCAUGAAAGGAUGUUCAACAUCAUUAACCACUAGGGAAAUACAAAUCAAAAAUGCAAUAACUGAUUCACUUCCACUAGGAUGACUACAAUUUUUUUAAAAAUAACAACUGUUGGUGAGGAUGUGGGGAAACUGGAACCUUCAUACAUUGCUAGUGGGAAUUAAAAACAGUGUAGCACUGUGGAAAAGAGUUGGUAGUUCCUGAAAGUAUUAAGCAUAGAAAUAUCACAUGCCUUAGCAAUUCCACUCCCAGGUAUAUAGUGCAAACUAAAGGUGUUGUUAUCUACUAAAUUGUCUCCUCCUCCAACUCAAAUUCAUGUGUUGGAGCUCCAAGCCCUAGUGUGACUACAUUUUACAUGGACUUUAAAAAGGUAAUUAAGAUUAAAUUAGGUCAUAACAAUAUGACCUUAAUGAAAAUGACAGGUGUCCUUAUAAGAAGAGAGAGGUAGCAAGGGCUUAUAUGCAAAGAGAAAAGACCAUAAGAGAUCAUAGUGAGAUGGUAGCCAUCUACAAACCAAGGAGAGAGACAUCUGGAAAAACCAACCCGGCCAGCACCUUGAUCUAGCACUUCCAGCCUCCAGAACUGUAAGAAAAUCAAUUUCUGUUGUUUCUGCCACCAAAUCUGUAGUGUUUUGAUCAUGACAGUCUUAGCAGACUAAUACAGAAGUUUAAACAAGAACUUGUAGAUGAUGUUUGUAAUAGUCAUAAUAACUAAACUGUGAAAACAACACAAAUGUCCAUCAGCUGAUAAAUGGAUAAACAAAAUGUGGUUUGCUCUUGGAUAAGCAAUGAGGUCCUGCUGUAUAGCUUGGAGAACUAUGUCCAAUCACUUGUGAUAGAACUUGAUGGAGAAUAAUUUGAGAAAAAGAAUAUAAAACUGGGUCACUGUUGUACAGCAAGAAUUGACAGAACAU
RNAcentral lists this long non-coding RNA (6252 nucleotides) under Sus scrofa (pig). RNAcentral describes it as "lncRNA (ENSSSCG00000060725.1)". Lineage: Eukaryota; Metazoa; Chordata; Mammalia; Artiodactyla; Suidae. The record is from RNAcentral.